UGCGAAGAGCAUCCAACAGACGGAGGAUGAAAAUUUAGUUUCGAGUGGUUAUCCUUGAAUUUUCUCUCCUGGAACUUGCAGUGUUAUCAAGUAUCCGAAUAUAGUUGAUGAUCGAGGGAAAGCAAGAAAUUUUCUCGCGCAAAAAAUGAUAUCAAACACUAAAAUAAAACACAUUUUUUAUUAUCUGAGAUGUAUCUGAGUACCUUCUUAUCUCGCGUUUUUGUUGUUAUGUAAACAGAGAUCAGCUGUUAUCGUGGAUGAGCCUCUUGUUUUUAGGUUACGAACCAAAGCAAAAGGUGUUUCGUGUAGUUCCAAAGUUGUAAGUUGAUCAACCUCGCUCUGCAAUUAACUUUAAAACCAACCUUGUUCUCAUUAUACUAAGUAAGUAUGGAAGGACAAAACAAUUUCGACGCCCCUUCCUCCCCGUGCGGAUGUCCUAUUAUGACUGACGAGCAAGUUAACGGCUUGGCGCACGGGCUGGCAUCCAUAAUCCGGGGAUUCGCCAUAGGAAAAACUGUCAUCGAAGGGGCAGCUAUCGCGAACGCGGUUACAGCAGCCUUAUUAGAGAAUCUGGCCUGUGCGAAGGCUGAGGACUCGGCUAAGGACUCGACUGAGGACUCGAAUAAGGACUCGACUGAGGAUGUUUCAGAGGAAAUCAGAAAUCCCAGAUUCAGAGGAUGCCGUCGAUUGCAACGAGGAUUAAUUAGCUGA
RNAcentral lists this long non-coding RNA (711 nucleotides) under Bemisia tabaci. RNAcentral's name for it is "lncRNA ENSSSA1NGG001074". The record is from RNAcentral. Lineage: Eukaryota; Metazoa; Arthropoda; Insecta; Hemiptera; Aleyrodidae.